GACUGGAGGACUUAGGUUGCACGUGCGGUGACGGGGCCGCCUUCUAAAUCGUGCGCCUGAAGUCUCCAGAUAC
This 73-nucleotide microRNA precursor is filed under the name Canis lupus familiaris (dog). RNAcentral describes it as "Cfa-Novel-18_pre stem-loop". The record is from RNAcentral. Lineage: Eukaryota; Metazoa; Chordata; Mammalia; Carnivora; Canidae.